RNAcentral lists this ribosomal RNA (553 nucleotides) under uncultured eukaryote. RNAcentral describes it as "SSU rRNA". It matches the Rfam family "Eukaryotic small subunit ribosomal RNA", at positions 617 to 1168 of the family's 1831-position model. The record is from RNAcentral.
GGUUAAAAAGCUCGUAGUUGGAUCUCUGCGGGCAGGGGGGUGGUUCGCUCUUCAGCGCUACUGCCCCAUUUGUUCGUAUUUUUGCAAGAGGAUUGGGGGUCCCCUUUGUUGGGUGUCUCCGGUCGCUUGCAGGUUUACUUUGAAAAAAUUAGAGUGCUCAAAGCAGGCUUACACGCUUGAAUAUUCGUGCAUGGAAUAAUAGAAUAGGAAGUCGUUUCUAUUUUGUUGGUUUUCGGAAAAUGACUUAAUGAUUAAUAGGGACAAUCGGGGGCAUUAGUAUUCAAACGACAGAGGUGAAAUUCUUGGACCGUUUGAAGACUAACUACUGCGAAAGCAUUUGCCAAGAGUGUUUUCAUUAAUCAAGAACGAAAGUUAGAGGUUCGAAGGCGAUCAGAUACCGCCCUAGUUCUAACCAUAAACGAUGCCCAGCUAGCGAUCUGCGGGUGUGUAAAAACAAGACCCCGCAGGGAGCUUCCGGGAAACCCAAGCUUGUGGGUUCCGGGGGAAGUAUGGUUGCAAAGCUGAAACUUAAAGGAAUUGACGGAAGGGCACC